GUGUCAGCAGCCGCGGUAAUACGGAGGUGGCAAGCGUUGUUCGGAAUUACUGGGCGUAAAGGGCGCGUAGGCGGCUAUUCAAGUCAGAUGUGAAAGCCCCGGGCUCAACCCGGGAACUGCAUCUGAAACUGUAUAGCUUGAGUUCUGGAGGGGGUAGUGGAAUUCCCAGUGUAGCGGUGAAAUGCGUAGAUAUUGGGAGGAACACCUGCGGCGAAGGCGGCUACCUGGACAGUGACUGACGCUGAGGCGCGAAAGCUAGGGGAGCGAACGGGAUUAGAUACCCCGGUAGUCC
Molecule: ribosomal RNA, 292 nt
Filed under: uncultured bacterium
Lineage: Bacteria
Description: partial 16S ribosomal RNA
Rfam family: Bacterial small subunit ribosomal RNA
Source: RNAcentral